GUGCUCACUGGAAGUGCAUAUACUAAAAUCAAAAUGACACAGAAGAUUAGCACAGUCCCUACUCAAGGAUGGCACACAGAUUGAUGACGAAUUCUAUAUUUUC
Molecule: small nuclear RNA, 103 nt
Organism: Sorex fumeus (smoky shrew)
Lineage: Eukaryota; Metazoa; Chordata; Mammalia; Eulipotyphla; Soricidae
Source: RefSeq, a predicted model, not a curated record